Oreochromis aureus is the source of this 404-nucleotide long non-coding RNA. Lineage: Eukaryota; Metazoa; Chordata; Actinopteri; Cichliformes; Cichlidae. The record is from Ensembl.
UUGUGAGUCUGCACACCUCUGCUUGCAGGAGUACGAUUCCUUUGUGUUUCCCACCCCUCGUUCCUGUGCACCUGGAGCCUGAUGGGCACACUUAUGGGUCAUCAUCCUGCUGCUUCUACUUAAAAUGGAAAACCAUUAGUCAACGCCUGAUCGUUGGGCUCACACUGAUAACUUGAGGCGUUUCUGGGAGAGGUUUGUGAGAGAGGAUCUGUUGAAGGUAAAUCCUCCACAUUGUACUUUUCAGCAAAUUAUUGUUCCCAUUCAUGUUGUUGAUACUCUACAGUAAUAGGGUGUGACAUAAAACUGUUGCUUCAAAUAUAUACAGUAUCUCUAUGUGAAGAAAUUCAUGCAACAAACUCAUUUCGGUCAAUCUUAAUGGCGCACACAUGCAGGACAGAACAGAG